RNAcentral lists this ribosomal RNA (253 nucleotides) under uncultured bacterium. RNAcentral's name for it is "partial 16S ribosomal RNA". It matches the Rfam family "Bacterial small subunit ribosomal RNA", at positions 524 to 776 of the family's 1533-position model. The record is from RNAcentral.
UACAGAGGGUGCGAGCGUUAAUCGGAAUUACUGGGCGUAAAGCGUGCGCAGGCGGUUCGUUAAGUUCGAUGUGAAAGCCCCGGGCUCAACCUGGGAACUGCAUUGGAAACUGGCGAGCUUGAGUGCGGCAGAGGGGGGUGGAAUUCCGCGUGUAGCAGUGAAAUGCGUAGAGAUGCGGAGGAACCCCGAUGGCGAAGGCAGGCCCCUGGGCCGACACUGACGCUCAGGCACGAAAGCGUGGGGAGCAAACAGG